AUCUGAAGCAUGAAACGACAAGCCUUGUGCCGCAAUUAAAGACGUGAUCGAAGAUAAGUUUCGGCCGAUACCCGUGCUACGCUGACCCGGGAUGCCCAUCGGCAUCUAUUCAGAAUGAGAGAAGUUGAAGGUAUGACACAGGGAACUGUGAAAUGGUUUAACAGCGAAAAAGGCUUCGGCUUUAUCGCUCCGGACGGCGGCGCAGCGGAUGUGUUCGUCCACUACUCGGAAAUCCAGGGCAACGGCUACCGGUCGCUCGAGGACAACCAGCGAGUGGAGUUCAGCAUCGAGCAGGGGGCCAAGGGUCCGCAGGCAGUUAAAGUGACUGCCGUUUAAUCCGACUUAUACGUCAGGUGGGCUGGUGGGGACAUUCCCGCCAGCCCACU
This 386-nucleotide non-coding RNA is filed under the name Mycobacterium sherrisii. Its description in RNAcentral is "cspA thermoregulator". It matches the Rfam family "cspA thermoregulator", at positions 103 to 428 of the family's 428-position model. Lineage: Bacteria; Bacillati; Actinomycetota; Actinomycetes; Mycobacteriales; Mycobacteriaceae. The record is from Rfam by way of RNAcentral.